CACAGACAACCAGGAUGUUGGCUUAGAAGCAGCCACUCAUUCAAAGAGUGCGUAAUAGCUCACUGGUCGAGUGAUCCUGCGCCGAAGAUUUCCGGGGGUAAAGCUUACUACCGAAGCUACGGCAUCAGGACUGAUGGGUGGGGGGGAGUCCCAUGCGGGUUGAAGCAGGACCGUAAGGACAGGUGGGAAGUAUGGGAGUGAGAAGGUUGGCAGGAGUAGCGAGAUGUGGGUGAGAAUCCCACAGGCCGUAAACCCAAGGUUUCCAGGGGAAGGUUCGUCCGCCCUGGGUUAGUCGGGACCUAAGCUGAGGCCGAAAGGCGUAGGUGAUGGACAACAGGUUGAUAUUCCUGUACUACCGAUAACCGUUUGAGAGAAGGGAUGACACAGUAGGAUAAGC
This 397-nucleotide ribosomal RNA is filed under the name Clostridioides difficile. RNAcentral's name for it is "bacterial LSU rRNA". It matches the Rfam family "Bacterial large subunit ribosomal RNA", at positions 1084 to 1487 of the family's 2925-position model. Lineage: Bacteria; Bacillati; Bacillota; Clostridia; Peptostreptococcales; Peptostreptococcaceae. The record is from RNAcentral.